RNAcentral lists this ribosomal RNA (433 nucleotides) under uncultured Anaerovorax sp. Its description in RNAcentral is "partial 16S ribosomal RNA". It matches the Rfam family "Bacterial small subunit ribosomal RNA", at positions 341 to 792 of the family's 1533-position model. Lineage: Bacteria; Bacillati; Bacillota; Clostridia; Peptostreptococcales; Anaerovoracaceae. The record is from RNAcentral.
ACGGGAGGCAUCAGUGGGGAAUAUUGCACAAUGGGGGAAACCCUGAUGCAGCAACGCCGCGUGAAGGAUGAAGGCCUUUGGGUCGUAAACUUCUGUUCUAACGGAAGAUAAUGACGGUACCCUAGGAGCAAGUCCCGGCUAACUACGUGCCAGCAGCCGCGGUAAUACGUAGGGGGCGAGCGUUAUCCGGAAUUAUUGGGCGUAAAGGGUGCGUAGGUGGUUUCCUAAGCAUGGGGUUUAAGGCAAUGGCUUAACCAUUGUUCGCCCCAUGAACUGGGUAACUUGAGUGCUGGAGAGGAAAGCGGAAUUCCUAGUGGAGCGGUGAAAUGCGUAGAUAUUAGGAGGAACACCAGUGGCGAAGGCGGCUUUCUGGACAGUAACUGACACUGAGGCACGAAAGUGUGGGGAGCAAACAGGAUUAGAUACCCUGGUA